GGUGAACCUGCGGAAGGAUCAUUAUUGAAUACACACAGGAUUGUUGCUGGCUAGAUUGAUUUCUAGCAUUGUGCACGUCCAUCAUCUUCAAUUACACACACACUUGUGAACCUAUUGUAGAUCGCAAGAUCUAUGUCUUUAUUCAUCACAUAUCCCAUCGUAUGUCUACAGAAUGAUUAUAAAUAUAAUACAACUUUCAGCAAUGGAUCUCUUGGUUCUCGCAUCGAUGAAGAACGCAGCGAAUUGCGAUACGUAAUGUGAAUUGCAGAUUUUCAGUGAAUCAUCGAAUCUUUGAACGCACCUUGCGCCCCUUGGUAUUCCGAGGGGCAUGCCUGUUUGAGUGUCAUUCAAUUAUCAACCAUUUAGUUCUUUGAUUAGGACUUUUUGGAUUGGACUUGGGAAUUGCUGGCCUAACAGUCAGCUGUCCUUAAAUAUAGUAGCAAGUGAAAGUAGUUUUACGUGGCACGGCCUUUGACGUGAUAAUGAUCGUUGUGGGGCUGGAAACGUUUAAUUAUGCUAGUAGUUUGCUUUUUAAUACUUAACAAGUGGAUUUAUGUAUGCAAUACAGCUGGAAAGCAUUAGUAAUGGAAGCUCGAGUGAAAAGUGAGCUAUGUUAUAAAAGGCAUGGUAAAUGGAAGCUUGAGUGAAAGUGAGGAUGUGUAGUAAGUUGGAAGGCAUAGCAUUUGAAGCUAGUUAAACAAGGAAUUGAAAAAAAAAAAACAAGUGCAACAAGCUGGAAAGCAUUAGUAAUGGAAGCUCCUUAGUUAAUAGUGAGCCCAUGGUGUGCCCCUGGUAGUAAUGAAAGCUUUGAGUGAAAGUGAGGAUGUGUAGUAAGGCUUGGAAGCGCAUAGUUAUUGAAAAGCUAGUUAAAGUAAAUUCCGACUUGAAAAUUGACCUCAAAUCAGGUAGGACUACCCGCUGAACUUAAGCAUAUCAAUAAGCGGAGGAAAAGAAACUAACAAGGAUUCCCCUAGUAACUGCGAGUGAAGCGGGAAAAGCUCAAAUUUUGAAUCUGGCAGUC
RNAcentral lists this ribosomal RNA (1021 nucleotides) under Rossbeevera sp. KPM-NC-0017845. Its description in RNAcentral is "eukaryotic LSU rRNA". The stretch from base 192 to 346 matches the Rfam family "5.8S ribosomal RNA". The record is from RNAcentral. Lineage: Eukaryota; Fungi; Basidiomycota; Agaricomycetes; Boletales; Boletaceae.